Molecule: transfer RNA, 85 nt
Filed under: Rhodoluna sp.
Lineage: Bacteria; Bacillati; Actinomycetota; Actinomycetes; Micrococcales; Microbacteriaceae
Also listed under: 2 other names
Description: tRNA-Leu
Rfam family: tRNA
About the family: Transfer RNA (tRNA) molecules are approximately 80 nucleotides in length.
Source: RNAcentral
GCGGGAGUGGCGAAAUUGGCAGACGCACUAGAUUUAGGUUCUAGCGUUGAGAGACGUGUGGGUUCAAGUCCCACCUUCCGCACCA